Molecule: transfer RNA, 69 nt
Filed under: Rousettus amplexicaudatus (Geoffroy's rousette)
Lineage: Eukaryota; Metazoa; Chordata; Mammalia; Chiroptera; Pteropodidae
Description: tRNA-Thr
Rfam family: tRNA
About the family: Transfer RNA (tRNA) molecules are approximately 80 nucleotides in length. Their secondary structure includes four short double-helical elements and three loops (D, anti-codon, and T loops).
Source: RNAcentral
GUCUAUGUAGUAUACUAAUUACACUGGUCUUGUAAACCAGAAAUGGGGAGUAAACCUCCCCCAAAGACU